AGUAGAAUCUAUGUAAGUGACUUAGCCUACAUUCUCUUACAGAGAAAUGUAGGAAGAGACUGAAAUCAACCCUCCUCCCGAGUGUCGGACAGACCCCGCGCGGUGAGGAGCCUGAGCCUCGGAGUUGAGUGACAGUCGGGGACUGGGACAGUCAGAGCCGUCACGAAUUCACCGACUGCGGUCUUACCUGGAAGCCUUCUAAGCACGCUUGUUGAAAAGCUAAGGACUGAGAGAACGUCAAAGCGGAAGCCUUUAAUGCAGAAUAAAUAAGUGCGGGAGCACAAUACAAACAGCCCUUGGGCAGGGGUCCCCAGCUCCCGCGCCGGGACGCCACCGGCCCUCCGCGCUGCACGGCCGAGGGGCGGGUCUCCAGAGCGGCCCGGAGCCAGCAUGGCGGGCGCCUGCCUCCCAGGGAGGAAGCUGGCACUUCUCGCGGUCGGAACCUGGCCGUACAGCGGUGCGAAAAAGCUCCGGGGGUCCCCGAGGCCCCCGCACAAGCCGUCCCGCUGCACUGACGCCCGCCCUCCUGGCGUCUGCCCCGCCGCCGCGGACCCGUCCCGCACCGUGCCCCACUCCUCGCCCUCCAGCCCCCUCCUGCCUGUGUGAGGCGCAGCGGCUGGGGUCACAGAGGUGGCCGCGGGAGUUCUCGCCUCCUGCUUGUGAGCUCUGACAGCGAGGCGAAAGGGACUCCAGCACCCGCUUCCGCGGCGGCCAGGAGGGGAUGCCAUGGCAACAGCGCGUCUCCGCGUCCGGCAUCCGGGCCUCUCUGACGCCGUGGUGAGGGAGGCCCGCGCAGGCGCGGACGGCAUCCCGCCCCCCCCCCCCCCCCCGCCCCGCCAGGUGCGCGUCCCAGCGCACACAAAGGACGAGCCCGCGGCCGUUUCCUAGGAGACUGCAGUCCCGCCCGGCGCCCGGAAUUUCCGCGCUAGUCGCCCCUGGCAGAAUGUCGGCGUCUGGGCCGUGAAUUUUCCCUCGCGUAGUAACCCGCCAGGAGUUGCAGACAGCAGAGAGCACGCAGGCCGGCUCUCCAGAGCCCGACGGGCUACCAGCGGGACGCUACCGCGCAGGCGCGGGGCGCUGCACCUGUUCCUCGGCGGCCGCCCGGCGGAGCGCAGGGUCUGCAGCGCCGCCUUGGGGUUUGUGCCGCUUCUCACUCCACUCCUACAACCAGGACCCCACGCCUCUCCUGUCUGCCGCCUGCCCACCCUAGUAGGUGAGCCAGUCCGCACACCCUCUGACCACGGCUCUUCCCGCCUGGCGUUCUUCCUCGCUCGAGCUUUUUCCGGAGCAGGAUCUACUGCCCGCACCCAGCUCUCUCCCACUGCGGACUUGUUGGCGGGACGCGGGCGGAAGUGACUAUCAGCUUCCACAGUAGAGAAGGGAUCAGAAUCUUGGCUUUUCUGCUUCACAGAUGUGUGAUCUUGAGUAGGUUAAAUUUUCUAAGUCACCGUGAAAUAUGGGCACAUUCUAGAAUGUUAAUUUAGCAGCAUGGAACUUGUCCUAUUUUUGUUUCCAUUGCUAUAAGUCACAAAGUCCUUCCUCAUAGACACAGCCAAUUACAAUGGCAAUUCAACUAGCAAUUUUAGGUAUCUCUAUAAAAUUAAUYUGUCCACAGCUGCCAGAUCUUUCUUUAUUCCUUGCUACCUAUUAUAUAAAACCCACAAUCCCGCCCCACAUUUUAUGACCCUCAUACCUUUACAAUUAUGGGCCUUUCCCCACCUUUUCCUAAUUUGUUAAAAUCCUACUAAGUGUGCAUGGCAAGCUUAAAUUCCACCUCCUUCGGGAACCACUUUUGAUGUUGCCAGUGCCCUUGCUCUCUUCCUGACCCAAGCCUUUUCAUGAUUAUGGUACCUGUCACAUUAUCUUGGAUUGCAGUCUUGUUAUUCUUUCUACAUAUCUUUUCCAGCCACACAUUUCAAGUUCUGUGGAGGCAGGAACCAUGACUUUUUCAUCUUUGUAUUAACAUAAGUGCUUCAAAAUAUGAAUUAAAAAGAAGGGAGGUGGGUUUAAAAGCUUAUGAUUUACAUUUUGAUUGCAACUAAACUUGAGAGUGCAGUUCUGAAAUUAGCUAAAAACUAACUGUAAACAAAGUAAAGGGAAAUGAGUUCACAUCCCAAUCUCCUACUCAGUGCCUGUGGUGACAGUGAUUUCAAAUGUGUUCUCUCAUUUCCUCACAACAAUCCUGAAGUAUCAUCUCACAGAUAGGAAACUUGAGGAUAAAAACAAUGACUUUCCUAACAUGUCAAACCCAAAUUGCAAACCUAAUAUUUUAAAUCCUUCUGACAGCAUUAUUUACUGAAGUUAAGCAGAGGAAUUAUUACAAUUUCCUUUUCAGGAAUCAAAGAUGAUGUCCACAAAUAUCCUUCCUGAAGUAUAACAUGCUAAACAAAUGUAAAAUGUUAAUUGUAGGAAAGAUGUUAUAAAUCAAACACAUGGCUAUCUAUUUCUAUCAUUCAAACAUAGUACCUUGAAUAAAACAUCUGGUGGACUAGAGAUCA
Molecule: long non-coding RNA, 2498 nt
Organism: Urocitellus parryii (Arctic ground squirrel)
Lineage: Eukaryota; Metazoa; Chordata; Mammalia; Rodentia; Sciuridae
Source: Ensembl